CCUUGCUCGGCCCCUGUUUCUGCGCUUGUUUACGCUGGUUCUGCCAUUGCUGCCACAACCCGUCUCGAAUUUCUUCUAAUUUCGACACUUAGAGGGCGCUGCUACUCUAAAUGAUUGAAAGAUGGUCAUCGUUGUUUGAAAAGAGCAAUGCAUCACAAUUGCCCUGUUUGCUUUGAGGAGAAAAUAGUUCUGCUUUGUCAUCAGCUCCUACUCUGUCAUCUGCUGCUGUUCCGUGCUCUCCUCUCUGCUUGCGUCCACUACGCCGUCCCCCACCUCGUCUGCUGAGCAUGUAAAGUGGCUGGAAAUUCUGAGUUGAUUCUCUCAAUGGCCUGAAUGACUCAAGUAAAAUUGCUGCAUUUGAUUUUGAUGGCCUAAAUGACUCAAGUAAAAAUCUUAGAAUUCUGGAGAAGGUUGCCCAAAUAUUCAAAGAGGAUUUGAAGUUUGGUGGAGAAGAGCUUUCUAGAAGCGGAAUGGAGAGUAAGAAUAGACAAGACAAUUACGAAUUACAGCUACAACAGUUGAUAAUCCUUGAAGACAAACAACCUAGCAUGGUGGAAUUGACAGCAUUUUACUGGUUACAUGGAAGAAAUAAGAGUUCAUGUGCUAUCAAUUUAAUUUAGUGGAUAAGAUUUCAUGUUUAACUGGCUACCGCAAGGUGGGGCUGGUGGUCUAAGUUUUCUACUUUGUGUGCGAGACUAUACUAAGCAAAGUAACUGCUGAUGUUGACAAAGGGGUCCAUGAUGAGACUGGUUUCUUUUAGGUGGUUCUGUUUUUUGAAAAUAUGGGCUUGGAUAAAGAAACUAUUGGGAGAAUUAUUUUU
This is a non-coding RNA of Arachis ipaensis, 820 nucleotides long. The record is from RefSeq and is a predicted model, not a curated record. Lineage: Eukaryota; Viridiplantae; Streptophyta; Magnoliopsida; Fabales; Fabaceae.